Molecule: non-coding RNA, 72 nt
Organism: Danionella cerebrum
Lineage: Eukaryota; Metazoa; Chordata; Actinopteri; Cypriniformes; Danionidae
Source: the annotation of a GenBank genome assembly
GGGGACGUAGCUUAGAGGAAGCGCCCUUGCUUUGCAAGAUUGAGGUCCUGGAUUCAAUACCCAGCAUCUCCA